RNAcentral lists this unclassified non-coding RNA (234 nucleotides) under air metagenome. RNAcentral's name for it is "partial contains small subunit ribosomal RNA, internal transcribed spacer 1, and 5.8S ribosomal RNA". The stretch from base 1 to 46 matches the Rfam family "Eukaryotic small subunit ribosomal RNA", at positions 1786 to 1831 of the family's 1831-position model. The record is from RNAcentral.
AAGUCGUAACAAGGUCUCCGUUGGUGAACCAGCGGAGGGAUCAUUACGAAGCAAGUUGAAAAACUGCUAAACCCUUGUGAACAUACCUGUAUAGUUGCUUCGGCGGACAGCCCCAGGGCGGGGCCGUAGCCUUUUAUAGGUGUCCGCCGACAGCAUUAAAACUCGUUUUUUACAGUUAUUCUGAGUUAUAAAACAAAUAAGUUAAAACUUUCAACAACGGAUCUCUUGGCUUUG